UCACAUGUUUAUCCUUCAAAAAUGCUGUAUCAGUAUUUGGUGCAGUCAAGAAUUGAUGAUCAGACUUCUUUUCAGUACUAUCUACUAGUCAAGUACAAACAGGUUAUGCCCAACAAUAGUACAAAUACCAAAGUCCCACAUCGAGUUAAACUGGAAUUAAACAAUACACUUCACACUAUAACAACAAUUAUCACCACAUUGUUUCCUUAAAUGAUCAAUUCCCACAUUGGUUAGAUGAUAAAAGGCCAAGGAAGUUUUCCUUAUAAAGGCCUAGUAAGUAGCAAGCCAAGCUUUCUUUGAAAAAUGUCAAACCCAAGCUUCAGGUCGAUCUAGGCUGUAGACCAGGUCGGACUUUUAAGAAGACCAGACCAGGGUGGAUUUUGAUCAGUAAAUUGUGGUAUGUUAUUAGCCUUGCAAGCUAGGUUUUGCCUAGGCCUGUUGUUGUUCACCAGGCCGGACCAAGGCUUAAGCCGCGGGCUAUUUGUGCACCACUAACCCCGGCCAAAGAGAACUUUUGUUGCUUGUCUUUAUCUGUAACAACAAAUAUUAUUCUUAUAUUAAUUAAGGUUCCUAUUCAUAAUAAUGUCAUUUAAAGGUUCAUGGUCAAAAUAUCAAUUUAUCAUUGUUUACAGGUCAAAUAUAUUCAAUUAUACCACAAAUGGUCAUGAUUAUGUAAAUCCAUAAUUCAUCUUUGCACUAUGGACAAAGAUAUUCAACUGUAACACCAAUGAUCAUGAUCAUGUCAAUCAACAAUUACUCUUUACACUCAG
RNAcentral lists this long non-coding RNA (770 nucleotides) under Panax ginseng (ginseng). RNAcentral's name for it is "long non-coding RNA (PGIN_LNC000256)". Lineage: Eukaryota; Viridiplantae; Streptophyta; Magnoliopsida; Apiales; Araliaceae. The record is from RNAcentral.